Molecule: ribosomal RNA, 404 nt
Filed under: Verrucomicrobiota bacterium
Lineage: Bacteria; Pseudomonadati; Verrucomicrobiota
Description: Verrucomicrobia bacterium partial 16S ribosomal RNA
Rfam family: Bacterial small subunit ribosomal RNA
Source: RNAcentral
UGGGGAAUAUUGCACAAUGGGGGAAACCCUGAUGCAGCGACGCCGCGUGAGCGAAGAAGGCCUUCGGGUCGUAAAGCUCUUUUAUGAGGGAAGAUAAUGACGGUACCUCAAGAAAAAGCCCCGGCUAACUACGUGCCAGCAGCCGCGGUAAUACGUAGGGCGCAAGCGUUAUCCGGAAUUAUUGGGCGUAAAGAGCUUGUAGGCGGUUCGUCGCGUCUGGUGUGAAAGCCCAUCGCUUAACGGUGGGUUUGCGCCGGGUACGGGCGGGCUAGAGUGCAGUAGGGGAGACUGGAAUUCCCGGUGUAACGGUGGAAUGCGCAGAUAUCAGGAGGAACACCGGUGGCGAAGGCGGGUCUCUGGGCCGUUACUGACGCUGAGGAGCGAAAGCGUGGGGAGCGAACAGG